Molecule: long non-coding RNA, 1184 nt
Filed under: Heterocephalus glaber (naked mole-rat)
Lineage: Eukaryota; Metazoa; Chordata; Mammalia; Rodentia; Bathyergidae
Description: lncRNA (ENSHGLG00000035261.1)
Source: RNAcentral
GUCACUGCGAGGCGGGCUGGGCCUGAAGACGUCAGGUGAAGUAAGACUCACGCUAGAAUCUGCAGAACUUGGUCUUGGCACUGGAGAGCAGGACAGUGGCGAGCAGAGGCUGAGAGGCGAGUCUUAGUAGCCCAGACGCCGCAGUGAAGGCCAUAGGAAAGUGUGGAUGGACACGCACUCCAUGGAAACCUGGCCUUGAAACGCACCGCGCUUCUCAGGCAGCGUCCACCUCACGCUGACUUCGCGCUUCACCUUGAGGCCUGCGUCUGUUUCUGUUGUAAGGAGGCAUUGCCAUGGAGCCACCGUCAGGGAACGCUGAGAAGAGCCGUUCAACCGAGUCACGACGUCAUUCCCGGAGCCCAGAGCCCGAGUGAGGGAAGCAUGUGGAGCCAGGUCGGGUGGACGGCAUUGGCCGCCAGCAGGAACCAAGCAGGGUGAGAAGCGAGGAGAGGCCAGAGUGGGCAUCCUCGCGAUCCCAGAAGGAUUUCACCGUGGGAGGCUGGGACGACCCCAGGCAAGUCAGGGGCCGUGUUUGCGCCUCGUGCGGAGGUGCCGGAAGCUACGCCUUCUCACAUGUCUCACAGAGAGCCCGGCAGCUGCGGAUCGGCAGUAGUGGGAGCCGUGUCCAUUGCUCUCCGACACGACACGGGCGGCAAGGAAGGAGGAGGAAGAGGGAACUCAGCGAGCGGUCUCGGGCCGGCCGAGGGCACCUGGAGCGUGGCAGGGGGAGCGGAGAGGGGCUGCGGGGCGCUCGCUCGUCUGCAGCUGGCUGGGGAAGACUGCUGAUCCCGGAAGCUUGGCCCGCACCCCACCCGAAGAAAGACUGCUAGGCCGGGAGGAAGGAGGACGAGGACGGUGAUGCUGCCCGGUCCUGCUCUCCCCGAGGUGGUUGGAAGGAGGGGUGAGGUAAGUGCCAGGCUCCGCCGCUCCAGUCAGGGACCUGAGACCGAGGUGUAAUCCCGAGCCAUGGCUGGCUUCGGAACACGGAGUGGGGACCGCAGAGCUGCUCCACAACGCCUCUGCAGCCGAGCCAGCUGUGUCCCAGAGACUCCAGCUCUGCCACGGUCCGCACGCACGCGCCUCCCCGCUCCACUGGCCAGGCAGGCAGUGCGAGUCUGCGCCUCCUCUCAGGGACGUCGCACGGCCUCUCGCCAGGGCCCAGCCCCUCCUCGGCCUUGUCGUGG